This 479-nucleotide ribosomal RNA is filed under the name uncultured bacterium. RNAcentral's name for it is "partial 16S ribosomal RNA". It matches the Rfam family "Bacterial small subunit ribosomal RNA", at positions 28 to 507 of the family's 1533-position model. The record is from RNAcentral.
GAUGAACGCUGGCGGCGUGCUUAACACAUGCAAGUCGAGCGAGAAGUUUUGAAAAGAUUCUUCGGAUGAAAUUUAAAAUGGAAAGCGGCGGACGGGUGAGUAACGCGUAGGCAACCUGCCCCAUACAAAGGGAUAGCAUUUGGAAACGAAUAUUAAUACCUUAUGAAACUUAACUAGUGCAUGCUAGGUAGGUCAAAGAUUUAUCGGUAUGGGAUGGGCCUGCGUCUGAUUAGCUAGUUGGUGAGGUAACGGCUCACCAAGGCGACGAUCAGUAGCCGACCUGAGAGGGUGAACGGCCAGAUUGGAACUGAGACACGGUCCAAACUCCUACGGGAGGCAGCAGUGGGGAAUAUUGCACAAUGGGGGAAACCCGGAUGCAGCAACGCCGCGUGAACGAUGAAGGCCUUUGGGUCGUAAAGUUCUGUACUAGGUGAUGAAAACUGACAGUAACCUAGGAGAAAGCCCCGGCUAACUCCGUG